UACGGGGGGUGCGAGCGUUCAUCGGAAUAACUGGGCUUAAAGGGCACGCAGGCGGACUUUUAAGUGAGGUGUGAAAUCCCAGGGCUCAACCUGGGAAUUGCAUUGCAUACUGGGAGUCUAGAGUACUUUAGGGAGGGGUAGAAUUCCACGUGUAGCGGUGAAAUGCGUAGAGAUGUGGAGGAAUACCGAAGGCGAAGGCAGCCCCUUGGGAAUGUACUGACGCUCAUGUGCGAAAGCGUGGGGAGCAAACAGG
Molecule: ribosomal RNA, 253 nt
Filed under: uncultured bacterium
Lineage: Bacteria
Description: partial 16S ribosomal RNA
Rfam family: Bacterial small subunit ribosomal RNA
Source: RNAcentral